RNAcentral lists this small nuclear RNA (24 nucleotides) under Arabidopsis thaliana (thale cress). Its description in RNAcentral is "snRNA_14230". The record is from RNAcentral. Lineage: Eukaryota; Viridiplantae; Streptophyta; Magnoliopsida; Brassicales; Brassicaceae.
UCGGGAAGAGUUAUCUUUUCUGUU